Molecule: non-coding RNA, 29 nt
Filed under: Rattus norvegicus (Norway rat)
Lineage: Eukaryota; Metazoa; Chordata; Mammalia; Rodentia; Muridae
Source: RNAcentral
UGGGACGGUGAAUAAAAGCUGGACAUGGC